Molecule: ribosomal RNA, 465 nt
Filed under: uncultured bacterium
Lineage: Bacteria
Description: partial 16S ribosomal RNA
Rfam family: Bacterial small subunit ribosomal RNA
Source: RNAcentral
GACGAACGCUGGCGGCGUGCUUAACACAUGCAAGUCGAACGGAAAGGCCCUGCUUGCCGGGUACUCGAGUGGCGAACGGGUGAGUAACACGUGGGUGAUCUGCCCUGCACUUCGGGAUAAGCCUGGGAAACUGGGUCUAAUACCGGAUAGGAGCCAUUUUUAGUGUGAUGGUUGGAAAGUUUUUUCGGUGUAGGAUGAGCUCGCGGCCUAUCAGCUUGUUGGUGGGGUAAUGGCCUACCAAGGCGGCGACGGGUAGCCGGCCUGAGGGGGUGGACGGCCACAUUGGGACUGAGAUACGGCCCAGGCUCCUACGGGAGGCAGCAGUGGGGAAGAUUGCACAAGGGGCGCAAGCCUGAUGCAGCGACGCCGCGUGGGGGAUGACGGCCUUCGGGUUGUAAACUCCUUUCGCUAGGGACGAAGCUUUUUGUGACGGUACCUAGAUAAGAAGCACCGGCUAACUACGUG